RNAcentral lists this ribosomal RNA (818 nucleotides) under uncultured bacterium. RNAcentral's name for it is "bacterial SSU rRNA". It matches the Rfam family "Bacterial small subunit ribosomal RNA", at positions 28 to 896 of the family's 1533-position model. The record is from RNAcentral.
AACGAACGCUGGCGGCAGGCUUAACACAUGCAAGUCGAGCGCCCCGCAAGGGGAGCGGCAGACGGGUGAGUAACGCGUGGGAACAUACCCUUCGGUUCGGAAUAACUCAGGGAAACUUGAACUAAUACCGGAUACGGACGAGAGUCGAAAGAUUUAUCGCCGAAGGAUUGGCCCGCGUUCGAUUAGCUAGUUGGUGUGGUAACAGCGCACCAAGGCGACGAUCGAUAGCUGGUCUGAGAGGAUGAUCAGCCACAUUGGGACUGAGACAGGCCCAAACUCCUACGGGAGGCAGCAGUGGGGAAUAUUGGACAAUGGGCGCAAGCCUGAUCCAGCCAUGCCGCGUGAGUGAUGAAGGCCUUAGGGUUGUAAAGCUCUUUCGCUAGGGACGAUAAUGACGGUACCUAGAUAAGAAGCCCCGGCUAACUUCGUGCCAGCAGCCGCGGUAAUACGAAGGGGGCUAGCGUUGUUCGGAAUUACUGGGCGUAAAGCGCGUGUAGGCGGGCUUUUAAGUCAGGGGUGAAAUGCCGAGGCUCAACCUCGGAACUGCCUUUGAUACUGGAAGUCUUGAGUCCGGGAGAGGUGAGUGGAACUGCGAGUGUAGAGGUGAAAUUCGUAGAUAUUCGCAAGAACACCAGUGGCGAAGGCGGCUCACUGGCCCGGAACUGACGCUGAGACGCGAAAGCGUGGGGAGCAAACAGGAUUAGAUACCCUGGUAGUCCACGCUGUAAACGAUGGAUGCUAGCCGUUGGGGAGCUUGCUCUUCAGUGGCGCAGCUAACGCUUUAAGCAUCCCGCCUGGGGAGUACGGUCGCAAGAUUA